RNAcentral lists this ribosomal RNA (468 nucleotides) under uncultured bacterium. RNAcentral describes it as "partial 16S ribosomal RNA". It matches the Rfam family "Bacterial small subunit ribosomal RNA", at positions 28 to 507 of the family's 1533-position model. The record is from RNAcentral.
GACGAACGCUGGCGGCGUGCUUAACACAUGCAAGUCGAACGGAAAGGCCCUGCUUUUGUGGGGUGCUCGAGUGGCGAACGGGUGAGUAACACGUGAGUAACCUGCCCUUGACUUUGGGAUAACUUCAGGAAACUGGGGCUAAUACCGGAUAGGAGCUCCUGCUGCAUGGUGGGGGUUGGAAAGUUUCGGCGGUUGGGGAUGGACUCGCGGCUUAUCAGCUUGUUGGUGGGGUAGUGGCUUACCAAGGCUUUGACGGGUAGCCGGCCUGAGAGGGUGACCGGCCACAUUGGGCCUGAGAUACGGCCCAGACUCCUACGGGAGGCAGCAGUGGGGAAUCUUGCACAAUGGGCGGAAGCCUGAUGCAGCAACGCCGCGUGCGGGAUGACGGCCUUCGGGUUGUAAACCGCUUUCGCCUGUGACGAAGCGUGAGUGACGGUAAUGGGUAAAGAAGCACCGGCUAACUACGUG